This is a long non-coding RNA of Saccostrea cuccullata (small rock oyster), 289 nucleotides long. RefSeq lists it as uncharacterized. The transcript has 3 exons. The record is from RefSeq and is a predicted model, not a curated record. Lineage: Eukaryota; Metazoa; Mollusca; Bivalvia; Ostreida; Ostreidae.
CCCGCGGAAUGUGCGUGUGAGAUGUUUCUGUUGAAUCCUUUGUCUUGUUCUAAAGUUGACAUGGAUUUAUAAAUUCUUACACCGGAUGUAUGUCCUGGACAAUGUGGUGAAAUGGGAAAUGCCCAGUUGACGGUAUCUCUUCAUUCGAGCGGCGGUCCCCUUGACGGCUAGAGAAAUUUGUCUCUGCAGUCCUCAGCAGUUUCCUUCCUGACAUUUUAACACUGAGAUUUGGCAAAUUGGCCCGGGACAGCUAGCAUCUGCUGUAAUGGAGGUUCAUUUUUUACUCAUC